GUUAGCUUGCUAACAUUUAGUGACUGAGCGGCGAACGGGUGAGUAACACGUGGGUAAUCUACCUGGAAGACUGGGAUAACAGUUGGAAACGGCUGCUAAUACCGGAUGAAGUUAGCGGGGUAAACCUGUUAACCAAAGCGUCAAGUAGUGCUUUCAGAUGAGCCCGCGUUCCAUUAGUUAGUUGGUGGGGUAAAGGCCUACCAAGGCGACGAUGGGUAGCCGGUCUGAGAGGAUGGUCGGCCACACUGGGACUGAGACACGGCCCAGACUCCUACGGGAGGCAGCAGUGGGGAAUUUUGCGCAAUGGGGGCAACCCUGACGCAGCGACGCCGCGUGAGUGACGAAGGCCUUCGGGUUGUAAAGCUCUGUCUGGGGGGAAGAUAAUGACGGUACCCCCGGAGGAAGCCCCGGCUAACUACGUGCCAGCAGCCGCGGUAAGACGUAGGGGGCGAGCGUUGUCCGGAAUUACUGGGCGUAAAGGGCGUGUAGGCGGCCUAUCAAGUCAGCUGUGAAAUUCCCCGGCUCAACUGGGGGCCUGCAGUUGAAACUGGUCGGCUUGAGUGCAGGAGAGAAGGGUGGAAUUCCCGGUGUAGCGGUGAAA
Molecule: ribosomal RNA, 601 nt
Filed under: uncultured bacterium
Lineage: Bacteria
Description: bacterial SSU rRNA
Rfam family: Bacterial small subunit ribosomal RNA
Source: RNAcentral